UUGAAUUAUUUGAACUAAGAGCAACUACAACAAUUAUAUUCUGAUGGAGACAAAAGUGCUAAGGUUUAUGUUACUUCUCUUCCUAGUCUUAGCAGAUGAUGUGACUGUGAAGAGAACAGAAGCUGAAAUAUGUUGGUCACCAAGCCGCUCUUUCAAGGGUUUAUGCUUGAGCAGCGGCAAAUGUGCAAGAGUGUGUCGAACCGAAGGUAACACUGGUGGCAAAUGCAAAGGCUUCCUUCUCCGCUGUCACUGCAGCUCAACUUGUUGUUGUGGAAAUUAAUUCACUCAUUCAACCUUUUCCAUUAAUAAAAACCUCAUCUGUAGUUAUUUUUAGCUGCGGUUAUGAAAAUUAUUAAUUAAUGAGAAUUUCUAAUUAUGUUUCUCUCCAA
Molecule: long non-coding RNA, 389 nt
Organism: Vigna angularis (adzuki bean)
Lineage: Eukaryota; Viridiplantae; Streptophyta; Magnoliopsida; Fabales; Fabaceae
Exons: 2
Source: RefSeq, a predicted model, not a curated record